Non-coding RNA from Fusarium poae, 86 nucleotides. The record is from Rfam. NCBI's taxonomy places the organism in Eukaryota, Fungi, Ascomycota, Sordariomycetes, Hypocreales, Nectriaceae.
GGUCCUAUAGUCUAGUGGUCAGGACGUUGGAUUUUGAUAGCCAUCAAAUCUUUCCGAAAGCCCCGGUUCGAACCCGGGUAGGACCU